Molecule: transfer RNA, 80 nt
Filed under: Mycobacterium minnesotense
Lineage: Bacteria; Bacillati; Actinomycetota; Actinomycetes; Mycobacteriales; Mycobacteriaceae
Description: Mycolicibacter minnesotensis tRNA-Gln
Source: RNAcentral
UGCGCUUGGCCCACGGCGACGAGGCGUUGCGCGAUCUGGUCGCGCGUCGUACGCCGCUGUUCGAGUUCGCGGUGCGCACC